This is a small nucleolar RNA of Vitis vinifera (wine grape), 196 nucleotides long. It matches the Rfam family "Plant small nucleolar RNA U3". Rfam says of the family: Small nucleolar RNAs (snoRNAs) are involved in the processing and modification of rRNA in the nucleolus. There are two main classes of snoRNAs: the box C/D class, and the box H/ACA class. The record is from Rfam. Lineage: Eukaryota; Viridiplantae; Streptophyta; Magnoliopsida; Vitales; Vitaceae.
ACGACCUUACUUGAACAGGAUCUGUUCUAUAGGCUCGUACCUCUGUAUCCUUGAGUUCUAAGGAGACAGGAACCUACGUCUGGUGGAUGAAUUGUGACCAUGUGAUCAGAGCGUGAUUAACAGUUCGGUGGUCCUUGAGGAUCGUUCCCGGCCAGCUGUGUCUGAAUGGGAUGGUCACAUGGUUGUCUGACAGACC